RNAcentral lists this ribosomal RNA (1202 nucleotides) under uncultured bacterium. RNAcentral's name for it is "bacterial SSU rRNA". It matches the Rfam family "Bacterial small subunit ribosomal RNA", at positions 43 to 1238 of the family's 1533-position model. The record is from RNAcentral.
AACGCUUAACACAUGCAAGUUCUUUCGGCGAAAUCGUGCCUGCACAGGCUAGCCAAGGCGGACGGGCGAGUAACGCGUAAAGAGCUUGCCCUGCAGAACAGGGAUAACAGACGGAAACGACUGACAACACCUGAUACAGUUGCCGGCACGCAUGUGCCUGGCAAUGAAAAGAGAUGCUGCGGGAGAGCUUUGCGUCCUAUUAGCUUGUUGGCGGGGUAACGGCCCACCAAGGCGAUGAUAGGUAGCCGGCCUGAGAGGGUGAACGGCCACAAGGGGACUGAGAUACGGCCCUUACUCCUACGGGAGGCAGCAGUGGGGAAUAUUGGACAAUGGGGGCAACCCUGAUCCAGCAAUUCUGUGUGCACGAUGAAGGUUUUCGGAUUGUAAAGUGCUUUCAGCAGGGAAGAAGGAAGUGACGGUACCUGCAGAAGAAGCGACGGCUAAAUACGUGCCAGCAGCCGCGGUAAUACGUAUGUCGCAAGCGUUAUCCGGAAUUAUUGGGCAUAAAGGGCAUCUAGGCGGCCAGACAAGUCUGGGGUGAAAACUUGCGGCUCAACCGCAAGCCUGCCCUGGAAACUGCCUGGCUAGAGUGCUGGAGAGGUGGACGGAACUGCACGAGUAGAGGUGAAAUUCGUAGAUAUGUGCAGGAAUGCCGAUGAUGAAGAUAGUUCACUGGACGGCAACUGACGCUGAAGUGCGAAAGCUGGGGGAGCGAACAGGAUUAGAUACCCUGGUAGUCCCAGCCGUAAACGAUGAUUACUGGGUGUGGGCAUGAAGAGGUGUCCGUGCCGAAGCAAAAUGCGAUAAGUAAUCCGCCUGGGGGAGUACGGCCGCAAAGGCUGAAACUUCAAAAGGAAUUGACGGGGACCCGCACAAGCGGUGGAGCAUGUGGUUUAAUUUCGACGCAAACGCGAGGAACCUUACCAGAUCUUGACAUCCCACGUAUGCCCUGCGAGAGCGGGCUAGUGCUCUUCGGGAAACGUGGAGACUAGGUGGUGCAUGGCUGUCGACGAGCUCGUGUCGUGAGAUGUUGGGUUAAGUUCCCGCAACGAGCGCGAACUCCCUAUCGCCGGUUGCCAUUCGAUUAAGUUGGGGACUCUGGCGAGACUGCCUGCGAAGAGCGGGAGAAAGGUGGGGAUGAACGUCGAAGUCGUCGUGCCCCUUAUGAGUUCUGGGCUACGCGCGUGCUACGAAUGGCCGGU